UACCAUAAAAUAUACACGGAUUAAGAAUCCUGUCCGUACCAACAUCUUGAUUUUUGAAUGAGCAGAACAUUGGCUUGAUGAAUCAAGUUACACUAAACCAUAAAAGGAGGAGGAAAUAAGGAUUUGUUCAACAAGACAUUAGUCACAGAUCAAUGUUCAUAAUCAAAACAUUUUGCUAUAACAAUAACCACAGACCAAUGUUCCUAAUCAAUUUUCCCAUACUCUUACAACAAAAUAAUUUGGUAGCUUCGUGAUGAGGAAGCACCGGUUCCUGUU
Molecule: long non-coding RNA, 276 nt
Filed under: Glycine max (soybean)
Lineage: Eukaryota; Viridiplantae; Streptophyta; Magnoliopsida; Fabales; Fabaceae
Description: long non-coding RNA (GMAX_LNC002393)
Source: RNAcentral